UACGGAGGGGGCUAGCGUUGUUCGGAAUUACUGGGCGUAAAGCGCACGUAGGCGGCUUUGUAAGUUAGAGGUGAAAGCCUGGAGCUCAACUCCAGAAUUGCCUUUAAGACUGCAUCGCUUGAAUCAUGGAGAGGCGGGUGGAAUUCCGAGUGUAGAGGUGAAAUUCGUAGAUAUUCGGAAGAACACCAGUGGCGAAGGCGGCCCGCUGGAACAUGUAUUGACGCUGAGGUGCGAAAGCAUGGGGAGCGAACAGG
Molecule: ribosomal RNA, 254 nt
Filed under: uncultured bacterium
Lineage: Bacteria
Description: partial 16S ribosomal RNA
Rfam family: Bacterial small subunit ribosomal RNA
Source: RNAcentral